UUCCAGCUGUUUGUACAGAGAGUGGUAGAGCAGGGUGUCCAGUGGCAGCUCUCCCACACUCGCGCCGCUCCUCCUCAUCCAGCGCUGGAGCCAGACUGCUGCUCAGGCUUUAUAUCAUUUAACUGCAGGGAUAGAUGACGGUAAUGAAGACGGCUCCUCACCGUCUGCUCCUCAUGGGGUAACAUCAGAUGAUAAUCUGCUUCACAGCACAUGUGUCAGAUGGAAGGAAUGCUAAUCUGGAAGAGGUGCAGAGCUUGGACUUUUUGGCAGCCAGUUUCCACUCUGCACUUACUUUCCAUGUGGUGCCGCUCCAGAGGCUCCGGCUUGAGAAGCCUGUUUGGGGAACGGAGGUGUUGACGGAUCCCAGAUCGCCCCAUUGGCCACGCCCCCCAUCUGAGGGUCACGGCUCUGAAGGACAACUGACCUGAACUUCUGUUCCAGUACCACUUCCAAAUCUGUAGUUCAUAUUAAGGUCUGGAAUGAAUGAUUGUGAUUCCUCAAUGAAGAUGUUAAAUGUGUGAGACCUAGGUUUGCUGAUCUUCACCUGUCAACUCACAUGGUUUACGGGGACUCUCCAUAGGCAUAAUGGUUUUUAUAGUUCACCCUUCACCAACUCUACAAAAUUGGGGUUGAUUUCGACUUCACAUACAAGUAGAAUAGGCUGAUUAAAUUUGUCUUUAUUUUAAUGUGAUACAAAAUAUUGUUCAGCAGUGAUUGAUAUAUGAUUUAAGACUGUAGUGUACAUAAGUUUACCGUAUUUUUCGGACUACUAGUCGCACCUGAGUAUAAGUCGCAUCAGUCCAAAAAUACGUCAUGAUGGGGAAAAAAACAUAUAUAAGUCGCAUU
Long non-coding RNA from Carassius auratus (goldfish), 846 nucleotides. RefSeq lists it as uncharacterized. NCBI's taxonomy places the organism in Eukaryota, Metazoa, Chordata, Actinopteri, Cypriniformes, Cyprinidae. The transcript is spliced from 3 exons. The record is from RefSeq and is a predicted model, not a curated record.